Molecule: ribosomal RNA, 253 nt
Filed under: uncultured bacterium
Lineage: Bacteria
Description: partial 16S ribosomal RNA
Rfam family: Bacterial small subunit ribosomal RNA
Source: RNAcentral
UACGUAGGCCCCAAGCGUUAUCCGGAAUUACUGGGUGUAAAGCGUCUGUAGGUGGGGAUAUAAGUCUCUCAUGAAAGACCGGAGCUCAACUCCGUGUUUGUGAGAGAUACUGUAUUUCUAGAAUCGGGGAGAGGGAAGCAGAAUUGUAUGAGUAGGGGUGCAAUCCGUUGAUACAUACAAGAAUACCAAAAGCGAAGGCAGCUUCCUGGAACCGUAUUGACACUGAGAGACGAAAGCGUGGGGAGCGAAAAGG